GAUGAACGCUAGCUACAGGCUUAACACAUGCAAGUCGCGGGGCAGCAUGGGGGUUGCUUGCCAUCCCCGAUGGCGACCGGCGCACGGGUGAGUAACGCGUAUCCAACCUGCCCUUCACCACGGGAUAACCCGGCGAAAGUCGGACUAAUACCGUAUGUUGUCCAUUGACGGCAUCCGAUUUGGACGAAAGGCUUGGCGGUGAGGGAUGGGGUUGCGUCUGAUUAGCCAGACGGCGGGGUAACGGCACACCGUGGCUACGAUCGGUAGGGGUUCUGAGAGGAAGGUCCCCCACACUGGAACUGGGACACGGUCCAGACUCCUACGGGAGGCAGCAGUGAGGAAUAUUGGUCAAUGGGCGUAAGCCUGAACCAGCCAAGUAGCGUGCAGGAUGACGGCCCUAUGGGUUGUAAACUGCUUUUAUGAGGGGAUAAAGUGGCCCACGUGUGGGCUUUUGCAGGUACCGCAGGAAUAAGGACCGGCUAAUUCCGU
Molecule: ribosomal RNA, 489 nt
Filed under: uncultured bacterium
Lineage: Bacteria
Description: partial 16S ribosomal RNA
Rfam family: Bacterial small subunit ribosomal RNA
Source: RNAcentral